Molecule: long non-coding RNA, 742 nt
Organism: Zophobas morio
Lineage: Eukaryota; Metazoa; Arthropoda; Insecta; Coleoptera; Tenebrionidae
Exons: 7
Source: RefSeq, a predicted model, not a curated record
UAAAAGUAAAGCCCCUCAAAGGGAAGUAUUUUUUCCCUGGUGAAUAUUUUAGCAGUAAUUUGGAAUUAUACAAUUCUUCUAACACUUCGGUUUUCGUAGAAUGCGUCACUUGUUUUUUGGAAAGUAAAAUGCUUUAUAGUACAAAAUAUAUAUCAAUCGAAAAAAAAAACCUGCGAGGUUGCCACGACGCCUAUACUUAAAAUAAGCUUGUUAACUUUAAAACUGACUAGAAGCUGCGACUGUUUUUGAAGCUCAGGGACUUUCUUCUUCUCAAUUUUGAGCAUUAUGUGAAACAAAUGUCUGUAAGCAAGUUGCAAAGUUUUUCUAUCUUCCAAUCCCCUUUACAGAUUUUCUUUAAAGCAGUUUUAUUUAAACCGCUCGAGAAGAAAAGUUCAGUUAUCAGGAUUCCAAUUCCUUUACACUGCCCCCCAUUUAUUCGCACCAACGCAUUUACCUUUGUCUGCCAGCUUAAAAUUUCAGUUUUUAUUAGCAACGGACCAAAAAUACCUACAUAUACAACUGUACCUUUACGGAUCUAUCCGUUGCUCGAUCUGUUCGAGGACAAUAAUCAUUUUACUUUGAGAGAAUCCUUAAGUUUUGGAAGGGAACACCCCUAUUAUCCGUACGCCCACGAAAUCCUACUAAAGAAAUUUUUUAACUUUUCUAAUAAUCUCGACGCUGGUUUUGAAUAUGAGCUGCCUUUUUUAAAGGAAAGUCCAGAACAGAGUCAUUAUUUCCCUUC